RNAcentral lists this ribosomal RNA (434 nucleotides) under uncultured bacterium. RNAcentral's name for it is "partial 16S ribosomal RNA". It matches the Rfam family "Bacterial small subunit ribosomal RNA", at positions 29 to 507 of the family's 1533-position model. The record is from RNAcentral.
AGCGAACGCUGGCGGCAGGCCUAACACAUGCAAGUCGAACGAACCUUUCGGGGUUAGUGGCGGACGGGUGCGUAACACGUGGGAACGUGCCUUUAGGUUCGGAAUAACUCAGGGAAACUUGUGCUAAUACCGAAUGUGCCCUUCGGGGGAAAGAUUUAUCGCCUUUAGAGCGGCCCGCGUCUGAUUAGCUAGUUGGUUGAGGUAAUGGCUCACCAAGGCGACGACCAGUAGCUGGUCUGAGAGGAUGAUCAGCCACAUUGGGACUGAGACACGGCCCAAACUCCUACGGGAGGCAGCAGUGGGGAAUCUUGCGCAAUGGGCGAAAGCCUGACGCAGCCAUGCCGCGUGAAUGAUGAAGGUCUUAGGAUUGUAAAAUUCUUUCACCGGGGACGAUAAUGACGGUACCCGGAGAAGAAGCCCCGGCUAACUUCGUG